This is a long non-coding RNA of Sapajus apella (tufted capuchin), 168 nucleotides long. RefSeq lists it as uncharacterized. NCBI's taxonomy places the organism in Eukaryota, Metazoa, Chordata, Mammalia, Primates, Cebidae. The record is from RefSeq and is a predicted model, not a curated record. The transcript is spliced from 3 exons.
CUGGGGGCUUGAGGAUGUGAGGGGCUUUAGACUACAUAUUGGGUACAGUGUACACUGCUCAGAUGAUGGGUAUACCAGAAUCUCAGAGAUCACCACUAUAGAACUUAUCCAUGUAAUCAAAAACCACCUGUACCCCCAAAACUAUUAAAUAAUAAAAAAAAAAGAAGU